Molecule: unclassified non-coding RNA, 2404 nt
Filed under: Pocillopora damicornis (cauliflower coral)
Lineage: Eukaryota; Metazoa; Cnidaria; Anthozoa; Scleractinia; Pocilloporidae
Description: uDP-GalNAc:beta-1,3-N- acetylgalactosaminyltransferase 2-like, transcript variant X7
Source: RNAcentral
GAAACUUCUCUUUACCACCAAGUUAUGAUGUAGUCAUUGGUAUCUUAUCAGCAAGGGGUAAUACUGAGCAGCGCCAAGCACUCAGAGAAACAUGGGUUGGACAUGCCCUACAACACCCCUCCCUGGGGCAAAGGAUAUUGAUCAAGUUCAUAGUUGGCAGUCAGCCAUGUCCCAUACCAGCAUUAGACAGGCUUGAUCAGUAUUCCUGUGAACCAGACGUUGUUGUUGACCCAGUACUGCAACAAGACAUCAUAGCUUACAUGGUUCCUAAAGGAGCAGUUGGAUAUCACUAUCACAAUGGCCCCUUGGGUAUGGACUUCAGGGUGAAUUUUCCUAUAAUUGUCACUCAGCUUGGAGUAUUUGACAGCAAUUCAGAUGGAAUUAAAAGUCAGCUGACAGUUCGUCUUUAUGACAAAGUCUCACAGGCAGAAGUACUGAGUGUGAACUUUACCCAAGAUGAACCUGGAGAGUUGAUUGGUGGAAGUAGAUUUAAACCUGUUGACCAGUUUCUCUUGCCAAAGGGAUUUGAAGGUUCCAUCGUUGGAGAGAACUUCAGUUUGUCUGAUCCCAGCAGUAACAACCCUUUGGUACAUGGUGGAUUUGACAGUGGUGGAGGUUUGAUUUCAUUUCACAGUGUGAGUCGCUUUGGAGUGAAGCAAAGCGUUUUCCCAGAAUUUGAAGAAAAAUUCUUUGAAGAGGACAACCAAUAUGGUGCUGGAUCAUUUAUGUAUCGCGCUUAUGUUGUAGAUGACGAAUUUACGAAGGAAACGAUGCUGGAAAGGAAGAGAGAAAGGACUGAAAGAACGAAAAUGUGGCAUAAAGUUUUGUUGCGGGAAGAAAAAGAAUUGGAACGAGAGAUGCAGCUGUAUGAUGAUAUUUUGAUGGUGGACGUUGUAGAUGUUUACCGCAACCUUCCAAUGAAAUUACUUAAAUUUUAUUCUUGGGUUGCACUGAAUAUGAAGUUUAACUUCACUCUCAAAACCGACGAUGACUGCUUUGUGCACUUAGAAUCAAUUGUCAAGGGACUCAAUGAUAGAAAGUUGCGAGGGAAAGAGCGCACUUGGUGGAGCAGGUUUCGCACUGCUUGGCCAGUGGAGCGCGUAGGAAAAUGGCGGGAACUUGACUACACCGCUCCUGUGUACCCGUCAUUCGCCUGUGGCGCUGGUAAUGUGUUGUCUGCUGACCUAGUGAGAUGGCUGGCGUUGAACGCCGACAACCUUAAACCAUACCAGGGUGAAGAUGUUUCUGUUGGAAUUUGGCUUUCGGCGUUGGGACCAAACUUAGUCAAUGAUUACCGCUGGUCAUGUGGACGCGAGUGUGAUACGGGAACUUUCACUUCCCCUGAAAAUGAACCCGAGGAACUGCGAGAGAUGUGGGCUGAUCUACUGGCAUGUGGGGAUCCCUGUGGCUGUUCCUAGAUCACAAAGUUUAUUGAACUUCAGAGGUAGAGAGAAGCACUGUUGUCCAAGAACAAAACGCUACUACCUGGCCAAUUCUCGAAUCCUGACCUCGAUCUCGACUCGAAGUCCAGAGCGCUAACUUCAAGCCGCUGCAUUUCCAACUUAUUCCGUAGGGUGCUUCUGAAAGCUAUUGGUAUCAACUUAGAACAUUCUCCUCUCAACAAAUUUCAUUACUACCCACACCUUACAAACCACGAAAUUAACUUCUUGACGGAUCAGAACUGACCAAAGACAAUUGGAGAAUGCUACGUGGGUCUUAAAGUCAAUAACUUCACGGUAGAUGAGUACCCAUGAAUUCCAUUAAAUUAUCAGAUGCAUAUCCGAGUCCUUUCCCCUCUCCUUCAUCAGAUUCAGAGGACUCCUGCUCGUCACACUGGUUAAUGUCAAUGUCGCUAAGUACCACAUCGAUACUGACCACACCUCUAGCAACCAUAAAACAGAGAUUAGAGACAUCAAUGCUAUUGAUAGUACCCUUAAGAUAAAUAUGUAGAACUUUCUAGAAUUCUCAGCCAAGCUGACAUGCAUACCAUUGAACUUUCUGGAGCAUUCCAUUAGGUCUUGUAGUCGUGAUGUAAUACUACCAAAAUAGUGGUGUUGUAAAAUUUCAUAUAGAAUACUUUGUGAGUGUAUAUAAGAACUCAGGUGUGUAGAAGUAGUAGUUGUUGUUGUUGUCGGGAGUGACUUACGGUUGGGAAAGCUAUACCGAGAGAGAGCUACUGUAGAAGACUGUUCAUUUCGAGGAACUUUGGAGACAAAUGUGUGUUUGUGUCAGUGGUGAGCUAAGAAGUAGAUUGUAAUGGGCUUAAGUUUGUUGAGGAUAAUUACCGUACUGCCUUUAGGAUUCGCUCUUUCUUAAGAAUAUUGCAAUUCUUGUUUAAGUAGUUGAGUCUGUAGGAUUGAAGUGGUCUUUCUGUCGAUUAAAUUAUACCGUGAAACCAAUUGGA